GCUAGGAGGCGUCGAGCGGCGGACGGGUGAGUAAUGCAUAGGAAUCUGCCCGGUAGUGGGGGAUAACCUGGGGAAACCCAGGCUAAUACCGCAUACGCCCUACGGGGGAAAGCAGGGGAUCUUCGGACCUUGCGCUAUCGGAUGAGCCUAUGUCGGAUUAGCUAGUUGGUGAGGUAACGGCUCACCAAGGCUGCGAUCCGUAGCUGGUCUGAGAGGAUGAUCAGCCACAUCGGGACUGAGACACGGCCCGAACUCCUACGGGAGGCAGCAGUGGGGAAUAUUGGACAAUGGGCGAAAGCCUGAUCCAGCCAUGCCGCGUGUGUGAAGAAGGCCUUCGGGUUGUAAAGCACUUUCAGUGAGGAAGAAAGCCUUGAGGUUAAUACCCUCGAGGGAGGACAUCACUCACAGAAGAAGCACCGGCUAACUCCGUGCCAGCAGCCGCGGUAAUACGGAGGGUGCGAGCGUUAAUCGGAAUUACUGGGCGUAAAGCGCGCGUAGGCGGCUUGAUAAGCCGGUUGUGAAAGCCCCGGGCUCAACCUGGGAACGGCAUCCGGAACUGUCAGGCUAGAGUGCAGGAGAGGAAGGUAGAAUUCCCGGUGUAGCGGUGAAAUGCGUAGAGAUCGGGAGGAAUACCAGUGGCGAAGGCGGCCUUCUGGACUG
RNAcentral lists this ribosomal RNA (660 nucleotides) under Halomonas litopenaei. RNAcentral's name for it is "bacterial SSU rRNA". It matches the Rfam family "Bacterial small subunit ribosomal RNA", at positions 79 to 736 of the family's 1533-position model. The record is from RNAcentral. Lineage: Bacteria; Pseudomonadati; Pseudomonadota; Gammaproteobacteria; Oceanospirillales; Halomonadaceae.